RNAcentral lists this unclassified non-coding RNA (364 nucleotides) under uncultured bacterium. RNAcentral's name for it is "contains 16S-23S intergenic spacer region". The record is from RNAcentral.
UCCCUGUUACCAGGGCAGUCUGUUUAGAAAAAUCCAACUAAACAUAAGGGUUGCGCUCGUUGCGGGACUUAACCCAACAUCUCACGACACGAGCUGACGACGGCCAUGCAUCACCUGUCACUCAGUUCCCGAGGGCACAGUUUCCUUUCGGAAGCCUUCUGAGGAUGUCAAACCUUGGUAAGGUUCUUCGCUUAUCAUCGAAUUAAACCACACGCUCCACCGCUUGUGCGGGUCCCCGUCAAUUCCUUUGAGUUUUAAGCUUGCGCUCGUACUACUCAGGCGGGAUGCUUAACGCGUUAGCUUCGCUUCUGACGGGGUCGAUACCGCCAAAUAGCUAGCAUCCAUCGUUUACGGCAUGGACUAC